UGGGGUGUAGCUAAGUGGUAGAACACUUACCUAUAGUGUAUGAGGCCCUAGGUUUCAUUUUUAGCACCACAA
This 72-nucleotide transfer RNA is filed under the name Fukomys damarensis (Damara mole-rat). It matches the Rfam family "tRNA". From Rfam's summary of the family: Transfer RNA (tRNA) molecules are approximately 80 nucleotides in length. Their secondary structure includes four short double-helical elements and three loops (D, anti-codon, and T loops). Further hydrogen bonds mediate the characteristic L-shaped molecular structure. tRNAs have two regions of fundamental functional importance: the anti-codon, which is responsible for specific mRNA codon recognition, and the 3' end, to which the tRNAs corresponding amino acid is attached (by aminoacyl-tRNA synthetases). tRNAs cope with the degeneracy of the genetic code in two manners: having more than one tRNA (with a specific anti-codon) for a particular amino acid; and 'wobble' base-pairing, i.e. permitting non-standard base-pairing at the 3rd anti-codon position. The record is from Rfam by way of RNAcentral. Lineage: Eukaryota; Metazoa; Chordata; Mammalia; Rodentia; Bathyergidae.